RNAcentral lists this ribosomal RNA (390 nucleotides) under uncultured bacterium. Its description in RNAcentral is "bacterial SSU rRNA". It matches the Rfam family "Bacterial small subunit ribosomal RNA", at positions 30 to 416 of the family's 1533-position model. The record is from RNAcentral.
AUUGAACGCUGGCGAAAUGCUUUACACAUGCAAGUCGAACGGCAGCACGGGAGCUUGCUCCUGGUGGCGAGUGGCGAACGGGUGAGUAAUGCGUCGGAACGUACCGAGUAAUGGGGGGAUAACGCAGCGAAAGCUGUGCUAAUACCGCAUACGCCCUGAGGGGGAAAGUGGGGGAUCGCAAGACCUCACGUUAUUCGAGCGGCCGACGUCUGAUUAGCUAGUUGGUGGGGUAAAGGCCUACCAAGGCGACGAUCAGUAGCGGGUCUGAGAGGAUGAUCCGCCACACUGGAACUGAGACACGGUCCAGACUCCUACGGGAGGCAGCAGUGGGGAAUUUUGGGACAAUGGGGGCAACCCUGAUCCAGCCAUUCCGCGUGAGUGAAGAAGGCC